CUUGCAGGGUACUCGAGUGGCGAACGGGUGAGUAACACGUGGGUGAUCUGCCCUGCACUUCGGGAUAAGCUUGGGAAACUGGGUCUAAUACCGGAUAGGAACCAUCUUUAGUGUGGUGGUUGGAAAGUUUUUUCGGUGUAGGAUGAGCUCGCGGCCUAUCAGCUUGUUGGUGGGGUAAUGGCCUACCAAGGCGGCGACGGGUAGCCGGCCUGAGAGGGUGUACGGCCACAUUGGGACUGAGAUACGGCCCAGACUCCUACGGGAGGCAGCAGUGGGGAAUAUUGCACAAUGGGCGCAAGCCUGAUGCAGCGACGCCGCGUGGGGGAUGAAGGCCUUCGGGUUGUAAACUCCUUUCGCUAGGGACGAAGCUUUUUUGUGACGGUACCUAGAUAAGAAGCACCGGCUAACUAC
Molecule: ribosomal RNA, 411 nt
Filed under: uncultured Corynebacterium sp.
Lineage: Bacteria; Bacillati; Actinomycetota; Actinomycetes; Mycobacteriales; Corynebacteriaceae
Description: bacterial SSU rRNA
Rfam family: Bacterial small subunit ribosomal RNA
Source: RNAcentral